UCCAGACUUUGAACUUGCCUGCCAGCCUUC
This 30-nucleotide non-coding RNA is filed under the name Homo sapiens (human). Lineage: Eukaryota; Metazoa; Chordata; Mammalia; Primates; Hominidae. The record is from RNAcentral.